This 349-nucleotide transfer-messenger RNA is filed under the name Bryobacteraceae bacterium. It matches the Rfam family "transfer-messenger RNA". From Rfam's summary of the family: Bacterial tmRNA, also known as 10Sa RNA or SsrA, is named for its dual tRNA and mRNA-like properties. Its role is to liberate the mRNA from a stalled ribosome. To accomplish this part of the tmRNA is used as a reading frame that ends in a translation stop signal. Lineage: Bacteria; Pseudomonadati; Acidobacteriota; Terriglobia; Bryobacterales; Bryobacteraceae. The record is from RNAcentral.
GGGGGCGUAACGGCUUCGACGGGAUUGAAUCGUUGUGGCGUGGCGUGCCGGGUUCCGAGCUCCCGUAAAACGAUCGGAAAACCAAAACUGCCAACACGCAGUUUGCAUACGCCGCCUAAUCCAUAGGUGGCCGCCCCUGUUCUGAGGCCCGCAUCGGGGCAGAGCGGCGUCAUAUGGCGGGAUAGGCGAAGGGGCUUCCGCCUGUAGCUCUGAGCCGAGACCAAUCAGGCUGGGCGGCGCAAGGCUUGCCGGUUUCCAAGGCGCCGUCGAGAGCCAGAACCGGAUACGCACGUAGUCGCGUCACGGCGGGCUUUCUCGGACGCGGGUUCGACUCCCGCCGCCUCCACCA